This 207-nucleotide long non-coding RNA is filed under the name Elaeis guineensis (African oil palm). RNAcentral describes it as "long non-coding RNA (EGUI_LNC010415)". Lineage: Eukaryota; Viridiplantae; Streptophyta; Magnoliopsida; Arecales; Arecaceae. The record is from RNAcentral.
GGGGUGAGACCUACAAGAAAAGUUCUGACUAGAGAUUGCUUCGACGGGGACCUUCUUUUUGGGGUCCCUAUUCGGGCCUCCUUUUAUAGAUAGAGGUGGGGGUUUUUGAUGGAUAGUUUGCUGACAUCACCGUAGGUGUCAUGAUGAAACUAUCGCACACCAGCCGUCACCAGAUAGGCCGUCGAUUUUGGAUAGUGGCACUCAAGG